GCCGCGUGUGUGAAGAAGGCCUUCGGGUUGUAAAGCUUACAGCAGUGAGGAAAGUUUACGUGUUAAUACCUGCUUGCUUUGACGUUAGCUGCAGAAGAAGCACCGGCUAACUCCGUGCCAGCAGCCGCGGUAAUACGGAGGGUGCGAGCGUUAAUCGGAAUUACUGGGCGUAAAGCGCAUGCAGGCGGUUUGUUAAGCUAGAUGUGAAAGCCCCGGGCUCAACCUGGGAAGGGCAUUUUGAACUGGCAGGCUAGAGUCUUGUAGAGGGGAGUGGAAUUUCAGGUGUAGCGGUGAAAUGCGUAGAUAUCUGAAGGAAUAUCGGUGGCGAAGGCGACCCCCUGGACAAAGACUGACGCUCAUGUGCGAAAGCGUGGGGAGCAAACAGGAUUAGAUACCCUGGUAGUCCACACUGUAAACGAUGUCUACUUGCAGGUUGUGACCUUAAGACGUGGCUUUCGGAGCUAACGCGUUAAGUAGACCGCCUGGGGAGUACGGUCGCAAGAUUAAAACUCAAAUGAAAUUGACGGA
This 528-nucleotide ribosomal RNA is filed under the name uncultured bacterium. RNAcentral's name for it is "bacterial SSU rRNA". It matches the Rfam family "Bacterial small subunit ribosomal RNA", at positions 396 to 917 of the family's 1533-position model. The record is from RNAcentral.